AUAGUGGCGAACGGGUGCGUAACGCGUAGGAAUCUACCCAGUAGCGGGGGACAACUCGGGGAAACUCGGGCUAAUACCGCAUACGCCCUACGGGGGAAAGGGGGCUUCGGCUCUCACUAUUGGAUGAGCCUGCGUCAGAUUAGCUUGUUGGUAGGGUAAUGGCCUACCAAGGCGACGAUCUGUAGCUGGUCUGAGAGGAUGAUCAGCCACACUGGGACUGAGGCACGGCCCAG
This 233-nucleotide ribosomal RNA is filed under the name uncultured bacterium. RNAcentral describes it as "partial 16S ribosomal RNA". It matches the Rfam family "Bacterial small subunit ribosomal RNA", at positions 92 to 334 of the family's 1533-position model. The record is from RNAcentral.